CAGAAGACUACGUUCGCUCAGGAGUCAGGAUUGCAGCAGGAGAAAGAACACAACAACAACUUCUGGAAAAGAAAACUCAACAGAAAGUAAACAACAAAAAUGCACAGGUAAAUAACCAGAUGAAAAGGUAUCAGUCCAAAGCAAAUACUUAGUCCUUUGAAAUAAAUGUCCAACGUGGAAACAAAAAUACUCAGAUCCUUGAGUGAAAAGAGUUUCGAUGCUUAGCAAAAAAUGUGUCCAAAAAGUAAAAAACAGGUUUACACAAUAUUUCCUACCAGUGUGAUGAACAACUUCCAGAUUCUAUGAAAUGGGAUGGCUCGCCAGUUUCUGCAACCGUGUGUCUCUCUCUCUCUCGAUGGACAGCAGAAACAAUUCUCCCAAACGUCAACAAAACUCCAGAUCCAGAAUCAGCAUUGCUCUCAGGAACAUCAAUAAACAAAGAAGAGAGAGAGAAAAGAAAAGAAACCAACAAAAAAAAAAAAAACCCAACCUUGCAAAACAAGGCAGAAAAUUACAAUUAAUAUCAGAGCUCUCAAUAUCAAAAGCAUAUUUCAGUAACACACUGAAAAAAUGUACAAUUGCACUCACAAUAUACACAUCUCUUUUUUCUUUAAACACAUUUCUCAUUAAAAUACAACAACUGAUUUGCUCAACUUACUCAACCCAUAUAAAUCAAUGCGUUAGCCAUUAGCUAAGACCGCAUGGUUAGCAUAACUCCCUGUGCUUAGCAUCACACUUUCAGCACAUAUUAUUGACAUAAAAUAACCAUUUGACCACAAAUCAACAUAUAUACACAUAUAUUUUUCUUCUAAAACAUUGAACAGAAAUAAAGCAUAAUUUAGACGUUUGUUUUGUAGUGAAACACUACACUAACUAAUUUAUAUAAAGGACAGACAAAUACAUAUACAUGUAAUUCACUUACCAAGAAAAAUAGUGAGUAAACAGAACAAUCCCGGAUGGAAAAAUAAAAAUCUCUCUUUUGGUUUCUCUCGAGUGAAUUAACUUUUUUCUGUUUCCUAUUCUCUUCAGAUCCAGUGCAAUCGCGAUCGUCUAAUGUAAGCACCACUUUACUGCUAACGAGCGAACACUGUUCUCAUAUUUCAAAACACUUCUCUUACAGAUCGACUUAACUUAAAACACUUUAAAUCUCUGUUCAAAAGCUGUUUUUGCUAAAUCGCCAUGUCUCCGCUUCUCACCGUUCUCUCCCUUUUUCUGUUUGUUCUCCUCAAUCCCCUUUUUCUGUUUUUUUUUUGACGUCAACCUUGAGGGAGGGGUUACUCUUAAACGGCCAGUUUCUAAUUUUACUUAUUUUCCUAGACAUUUUCUGUUAUUAACUAUUUCACUUAGUAUAAGUUGAGAAUUCGAUAUAUAAUAUGAAUAUGAAUAAAAUAAUGGGAUGAUAUUAAUAAAAUAGUCUUAUUUUAUUUACAUAUGUAGUAAUAUAUAUUUUUCUCUAUUCACAGGUGCUGGCUCUUGUAACCUGGGUUACAUCCUCCCUCACGGAAUAUAUGCACGUCCCUGUGCAUUUACACAUCGAUGAUAGGGGGAACCACAGACUCUUCAAAGGAGCACUCGACUGCCUUACUUAAGCCUUGCAAUAAGGACUGAAACACUGUGACUCUUGUUGCAACCAAGGCUCCUGGCUGGCUCGCCAAAUUUUUCCCCUGUAACACCCGCGAAGAAUGCACGGAAGGAAAUAAUUUGGUUUCACAGCUACUUCUAUGUAUGUGUGGGGCCGGAUCAGAAGACUACGUUCGCUCAGGAGUCAGGAUUGCAGCAGGAGAAAGAACACAACAACAACUUCUGGAAAAGAAAACUCAACAGAAAGUAAACAACAAAAAUGCACAGGUAAAUAACCAGAUGAAAAGGUAUCAGUCCAAAGCAAAUACUUAGUCCUUUGAAAUAAAUGUCCAACGUGGAAACAAAAAUACUCAGAUCCUUGAGUGAAAAGAGUUUCGAUGCUUAGCAAAAAAUGUGUCCAAAAAGUAAAAAACAGGUUUACACAAUAUUUCCUACCAGUGUGAUGAACAACUUCCAGAUUCUAUGAAAUGGGAUGGCUCGCCAGUUUCUGCAACCGUGUGUUCUCUCUCUCUCUCGAUGGACAGCAGAAACAAUUCUCCCAAACGUCAACAAAACUCCAGAUCCAGAAUCAGCAUUGCUCUCAGGAACAUCAAUAAACAAAGAAGAGAGAGAGAAAAGAAAAGAAACCAACAAAAAAAAAAAAAACCCAACCUUGCAAAACAAGGCAGAAAAUUACAAUUAAUAUCAGAGCUCUCAAUAUCAAAAGCAUAUUUCAGUAACACACUGAAAAAAUGUACAAUUGCACUCACAAUAUACACAUCUCUUUUUUCUUUAAACACAUUUCUCAUUAAAAUACAACAACUGAUUUGCUCAACUUACUCAACCCAUAUAAAUCAAUGCGUUAGCCAUUAGCUAAGACCGCAUGGUUAGCAUAACUCCCUGUGCUUAGCAUCACACUUUCAGCACAUAUUAUUGACAUAAAAUAACCAUUUGACCACAAAUCAACAUAUAUACACAUAUAUUUUUCUUCUAAAACAUUGAACAGAAAUAAAGCAUAAUUUAGACGUUUGUUUUGUAGUGAAACACUACACUAACUAAUUUAUAUAAAGGACAGACAAAUACAUAUACAUGUAAUUCACUUACCAAGAAAAAUAGUGAGUAAACAGAACAAUCCCGGAUGGAAAAAUAAAAAUCUCUCUUUUGGUUUCUCUCGAGUGAAUUAACUUUUUUCUGUUUCCUAUUUUCUUCAGAUCCAGUGCAAUCGCGAUCGUCUAAUGUAAGCACCACUUUACUGCUAACGAGCGAACACUGUUCUCAUAUUUCAAAACACUUCUCUUACAGAUCGACUUAACUUAAAACACUUUAAAUCUCUGUUCAAAAGCUGUUUUUGCUAAAUCGCCAUGUCUCCGCUUCUCACCGUUCUCUCCCUUUUUUUGUUUGUUCUCCUCAAUCCCCUUUUUCUGUUUUUUUUUUGACGUCAACCUUGAGGGAGGGGUUACUCUUAAACGGCCAGUUUCUAAUUUUACUUAUUUUCCUAGACAUUUUCUGUUAUUAACUAUUUCACUUAGUAUAAGUUGAGAAUUCGAUAUAUAAUAUGAAUAUGAAUAAAAUAAUGGGAUGAUAUUAAUAAAAUAGUCUUAUUUUAUUUACAUAUGUAGUAAUAUAUAUUUUUCUCUAUUCACAGGUGCUGGCUCUUGUAACCUGGGUUACACAAGCAUUAGUUUUAACUUUAUAAAAACUAUCAUUCUCUAACAGAGAAAGAAGGUUUUCA
This is a long non-coding RNA of Cyprinus carpio carpio, 3292 nucleotides long. Lineage: Eukaryota; Metazoa; Chordata; Actinopteri; Cypriniformes; Cyprinidae. The record is from Ensembl.